Salvia miltiorrhiza (redroot sage) is the source of this 624-nucleotide long non-coding RNA. RefSeq lists it as uncharacterized. The transcript has 3 exons. The record is from RefSeq and is a predicted model, not a curated record. NCBI's taxonomy places the organism in Eukaryota, Viridiplantae, Streptophyta, Magnoliopsida, Lamiales, Lamiaceae.
GUUCUUGAUUUGUUCAUAUUGAGCUGUCAAUCGAAGCUGAUACGUCGGGUUUCAAUUCUUCCAUUUGUUACAUUUGAGAACACGGUGGUAGCCUCUUUUGAUCUAUAUCGAGUUUGUGAUCAAUAUUGGAGUUGCUGCUUCUUUAGUACAAAGUUGAACCAUACUAUUCCUGGAUCAUAUGACUCCUUUCAUGAUUGGAAUGUCCCUAAAUCCGUCUUAUCCAUGGUUAAAGGAGAGAGCGGGUCGUCAAUGGCACAAAAUUGGUUUAGUGCCACACAGGUCGUUGUUCCAUGUUGGAUUAAAGGACAUUACGUGGUUGUUAGAAUAUACCUCGGACGUUGGGAGGCCGAGCUACACGAUCCACUAUAUUAUGGUUUGGAUGAAGCCGCGAAAGCAAAGCGUGGAGCCGAGAUCCAACCAUUGUUGAGUUUAUUCGGGAAGAUUUUGGAAGAUGCCGGCUAUUGGACGUCGAAUGUGUGUGGAUGGGAAAGGAAGACGCAUCCAUUGACACUCUAUAUCCCUGCACCGGACGAGCAAUUUAGUUAGAAGGAUUAUAGUUCAUGUGGUCCUUUUGCUUGCAUGGUGAUGGAGCGCAUAAUCUCCAGUGCUCCUAGUAUUACUUGG